Molecule: ribosomal RNA, 2905 nt
Filed under: Escherichia coli
Lineage: Bacteria; Pseudomonadati; Pseudomonadota; Gammaproteobacteria; Enterobacterales; Enterobacteriaceae
Description: 23S ribosomal RNA
Rfam family: Bacterial large subunit ribosomal RNA
Source: RNAcentral
GGUUAAGCGACUAAGCGUACACGGUGGAUGCCCUGGCAGUCAGAGGCGAUGAAGGACGUGCUAAUCUGCGAUAAGCGUCGGUAAGGUGAUAUGAACCGUUAUAACCGGCGAUUUCCGAAUGGGGAAACCCAGUGUGAUUCGUCACACUAUCAUUAACUGAAUCCAUAGGUUAAUGAGGCGAACCGGGGGAACUGAAACAUCUAAGUACCCCGAGGAAAAGAAAUCAACCGAGAUUCCCCCAGUAGCGGCGAGCGAACGGGGAGCAGCCCAGAGCCUGAAUCAGUGUGUGUGUUAGUGGAAGCGUCUGGAAAGGCGCGCGAUACAGGGUGACAGCCCCGUACACAAAAAUGCACAUGCUGUGAGCUCGAUGAGUAGGGCGGGACACGUGGUAUCCUGUCUGAAUAUGGGGGGACCAUCCUCCAAGGCUAAAUACUCCUGACUGACCGAUAGUGAACCAGUACCGUGAGGGAAAGGCGAAAAGAACCCCGGCGAGGGGAGUGAAAAAGAACCUGAAACCGUGUACGUACAAGCAGUGGGAGCACGCUUCGGCGUGUGACUGCGUACCUUUUGUAUAAUGGGUCAGCGACUUAUAUUCUGUAGCAAGGUUAACCGAAUAGGGGAGCCGAAGGGAAACCGAGUCUUAACUGGGCGUUAAGUUGCAGGGUAUAGACCCGAAACCCGGUGAUCUAGCCAUGGGCAGGUUGAAGGUUGGGUAACACUAACUGGAGGACCGAACCGACUAAUGUUGAAAAAUUAGCGGAUGACUUGUGGCUGGGGGUGAAAGGCCAAUCAAACCGGGAGAUAGCUGGUUCUCCCCGAAAGCUAUUUAGGUAGCGCCUCGUGAAUUCAUCUCCGGGGGUAGAGCACUGUUUCGGCAAGGGGGUCAUCCCGACUUACCAACCCGAUGCAAACUGCGAAUACCGGAGAAUGUUAUCACGGGAGACACACGGCGGGUGCUAACGUCCGUCGUGAAGAGGGAAACAACCCAGACCGCCAGCUAAGGUCCCAAAGUCAUGGUUAAGUGGGAAACGAUGUGGGAAGGCCCAGACAGCCAGGAUGUUGGCUUAGAAGCAGCCAUCAUUUAAAGAAAGCGUAAUAGCUCACUGGUCGAGUCGGCCUGCGCGGAAGAUGUAACGGGGCUAAACCAUGCACCGAAGCUGCGGCAGCGACACUAUGUGUUGUUGGGUAGGGGAGCGUUCUGUAAGCCUGUGAAGGUGUACUGUGAGGUAUGCUGGAGGUAUCAGAAGUGCGAAUGCUGACAUAAGUAACGAUAAAGCGGGUGAAAAGCCCGCUCGCCGGAAGACCAAGGGUUCCUGUCCAACGUUAAUCGGGGCAGGGUGAGUCGACCCCUAAGGCGAGGCCGAAAGGCGUAGUCGAUGGGAAACAGGUUAAUAUUCCUGUACUUGGUGUUACUGCGAAGGGGGGACGGAGAAGGCUAUGUUGGCCGGGCGACGGUUGUCCCGGUUUAAGCGUGUAGGCUGGUUUUCCAGGCAAAUCCGGAAAAUCAAGGCUGAGGCGUGAUGACGAGGCACUACGGUGCUGAAGCAACAAAUGCCCUGCUUCCAGGAAAAGCCUCUAAGCAUCAGGUAACAUCAAAUCGUACCCCAAACCGACACAGGUGGUCAGGUAGAGAAUACCAAGGCGCUUGAGAGAACUCGGGUGAAGGAACUAGGCAAAAUGGUGCCGUAACUUCGGGAGAAGGCACGCUGAUAUGUAGGUGAAGCGACUUGCUCGUGGAGCUGAAAUCAGUCGAAGAUACCAGCUGGCUGCAACUGUUUAUUAAAAACACAGCACUGUGCAAACACGAAAGUGGACGUAUACGGUGUGACGCCUGCCCGGUGCCGGAAGGUUAAUUGAUGGGGUUAGCGGUAACGCGAAGCUCUUGAUCGAAGCCCCGGUAAACGGCGGCCGUAACUAUAACGGUCCUAAGGUAGCGAAAUUCCUUGUCGGGUAAGUUCCGACCUGCACGAAUGGCGUAAUGAUGGCCAGGCUGUCUCCACCCGAGACUCAGUGAAAUUGAACUCGCUGUGAAGAUGCAGUGUACCCGCGGCAAGACGGAAAGACCCCGUGAACCUUUACUAUAGCUUGACACUGAACAUUGAGCCUUGAUGUGUAGGAUAGGUGGGAGGCUUUGAAGUGUGGACGCCAGUCUGCAUGGAGCCGACCUUGAAAUACCACCCUUUAAUGUUUGAUGUUCUAACGUUGACCCGUGAUCCGGGUUGCGGACAGUGUCUGGUGGGUAGUUUGACUGGGGCGGUCUCCUCCUAAAGAGUAACGGAGGAGCACGAAGGUUGGCUAAUCCUGGUCGGACAUCAGGAGGUUAGUGCAAUGGCAUAAGCCAGCUUGACUGCGAGCGUGACGGCGCGAGCAGGUGCGAAAGCAGGUCAUAGUGAUCCGGUGGUUCUGAAUGGAAGGGCCAUCGCUCAACGGAUAAAAGGUACUCCGGGGAUAACAGGCUGAUACCGCCCAAGAGUUCAUAUCGACGGCGGUGUUUGGCACCUCGAUGUCGGCUCAUCACAUCCUGGGGCUGAAGUAGGUCCCAAGGGUAUGGCUGUUCGCCAUUUAAAGUGGUACGCGAGCUGGGUUUAGAACGUCGUGAGACAGUUCGGUCCCUAUCUGCCGUGGGCGCUGGAGAACUGAGGGGGGCUGCUCCUAGUACGAGAGGACCGGAGUGGACGCAUCACUGGUGUUCGGGUUGUCAUGCCAAUGGCACUGCCCGGUAGCUAAAUGCGGAAGAGAUAAGUGCUGAAAGCAUCUAAGCACGAAACUUGCCCCGAGAUGAGUUCUCCCUGACUCCUUGAGAGUCCUGAAGGAACGUUGAAGACGACGACGUUGAUAGGCCGGGUGUGUAAGCGCAGCGAUGCGUUGAGCUAACCGGUACUAAUGAACCGUGAGGCUUAACCUU